AUGUCAGGGUCCACAGACACCAAAAAAUAAGUUUCUUUCAAGUCUUUGCUGGAUCUCAUAUACCAAUAUCAUUAAGAAGGGAAUCUGGAGGACGGCAUGAGGUUCGUCCUGCAGCUAAACUGAAGAGACCAAUGCUACAGAGGCUCUCCCAAAUCUUAGGCUCACCAGACCCAGGUUUAAGGACAGACAAAAGUGGAAAAGACCCAGAGAAGAAGUUCAUGAGAGUCUACAAGUUUGACAUAUCUCACCUGUGGAAAAGCCUUAAGAUCUGUUUAAAGAGAAGAGUGUGAACCGUGUAAGGACAACGUUGAAUCUGUGAUGGGGGAGAAGCUGCCUUUUGAGGCACUGAGGCCAGCAGAGAAGCCCACGCUCGAUGAGAGGCUGAGGUAGGGAGGGCGGGGGUGUUGAUGGCAGGCACAGGACACUGUCAUAAAAGAGGUGCAUGUAUGCUGAAUCACUUCAGUUGUGUCUGACUC
Odocoileus virginianus texanus is the source of this 476-nucleotide long non-coding RNA. RefSeq lists it as uncharacterized. Lineage: Eukaryota; Metazoa; Chordata; Mammalia; Artiodactyla; Cervidae. The record is from RefSeq and is a predicted model, not a curated record.